AGAUGGCGACCGGCGCACGGGUGAGUAACACGUAUCCAACCUGCCGAUAACUCGGGGAUAGCCUUUCGAAAGAAAGAUUAAUACCCGAUGGCAUAAUUAGACCGCAUGGUCUUAUUAUUAAAGAAUUUCGGUUAUCGAUGGGGAUGCGUUCCAUUAGGCAGUUGGUGAGGUAACGGCUCACCAAACCUUCGAUGGAUAGGGGUUCUGGGAGGAAGGUCCCCCACAUUGGAACUGAGACACGGUCCAA
This 247-nucleotide ribosomal RNA is filed under the name uncultured bacterium. Its description in RNAcentral is "partial 16S ribosomal RNA". It matches the Rfam family "Bacterial small subunit ribosomal RNA", at positions 86 to 334 of the family's 1533-position model. The record is from RNAcentral.